Rhineura floridana is the source of this 1836-nucleotide long non-coding RNA. RefSeq lists it as uncharacterized. The transcript is spliced from 3 exons. The record is from RefSeq and is a predicted model, not a curated record. Lineage: Eukaryota; Metazoa; Chordata; Lepidosauria; Squamata; Rhineuridae.
GAGGCGGAACAGUAAACUCUGGUUUCCCUUUAUCUCAACGCUAGCCAUUUCAAAGGAAGGGAACAGUCGCCAGAGGGGAGUGUACCGGAAGUGACUGAAUUUACGGGGCCUUGUUUUUGAAUUUCUUCUUCAUGCAAAUUAUUUUUUUGACUAUGUGGUUUCUGGGGGCCCUUGGGCACAGAGCACCAGUGAGCCUCUUGUUCCUCCUCCUUGCUCCUCAGAUCAUACUCCUCCUUUCUCUUGGCCCUAGCCCUUUCAACAAACAUAGAGCGAUAUAGCAAUCCUUUAUUGUAAAAACAAAAUUAGAAGCCUUUUAAACUUUUUUUGUGAACAAUAUAAUUUAGGAGGUAUAGCUUAAUCUGUAAUCCUAAACUCACUUGUCUGGGAGUUUAAAUGCCGUUGAAUUCGAUGGGACUUGCUUUCCAGCAGACGUGUCAUUUGUUGGGAUUAUUUACAUCCACAAUGGCAAGGUUGCAGCACGAAAGGACUGAGGAAGACCUGCUCUGGGAGUAUCUGGCAUCUGGGUGCUUGCUAUUAGCUCCUUUGGGCUGCUGUCUGUCGAGACAGCUGAAGUCCCUGGUGGUCUCUUCCAAAACCUCGCCAGCUUCAGAGACAUCCCUGGAAGGAAAAAAACACAGACAAUGAGGGGGAUGGCAACUAUCCAACAGCCUCACCCAGGCACCUCCACCGGCGUCCGCCUGGCAACUUCAUCCGCUAGCUUCCACCUGCCAACAUUCAACAUUCACGGGUUUCAUCUGUUCAUGAAUAUCCACUGGUUUGUCACAUUCACACAUUUACACCCCCCCCACCCACCCCCUCGACCGCAUCCGAAACCACUCACACACAAACACAUGGCCAGCCGACAUCCAUGAAGAACGCCAGUGGCAACAUCUGCCCCUCUCUCGCCCCCCCAAACAUUCACAUUCGUGCCCCGGCUUCAACCCACAAAUACCCACCUUCCGCUAGGUCCAUCGCUAGACAUCAGCCAGCUUCAGAUGUGAGUAUCAGCCACCUUCAAGCCGCGAUCCCGCUCAGCAAGUAAACUUGCCUCAUUAUUGCUCCAUGAUGGCAUCCCGCAGCCAGAUGAUCACCUCCUUGCGUUGGCCAAUUCGCCUCCUCCAAGUGAAAGAAGACCAGGCAAUGUUUUUGCCUCAGUCCACUGGCUUUCCACUUGGCCCACCUUUAUAUCCACUCAGCGGCCAUGUGGUUUUGUUAUGUCACAGGCAGUCCACAGCCCAUGGCAACAGCUGGGGAGGCCUCAUCAUCAUCAUCUCUUCACACACCUCACAAUUGUGGGUGUAACUCAGCUGGGAUUUAUUUGAUUGCUCUUUUAAUAUUAAAAAGUUUUAUAGCCCACCCUUCAUGUGUACUUAUACUGGGCUGGGGAAGAUUGUUCAGCCCAAGGAUGGCCAUCCCUUGUGGGCAACAUUCCAGGGACUACAUGCCAGAGGAGGGCAGGGCCAGAGGCAAAAAGUAGGGAUGGCCAGAUGCAAGUGUGGAUGGAGCAACGGCCGUGACUUAUCUUUGUACAUUCGGCUCCAUUCCAGCUAUGCAAAAAUAAAAGGUUUCUGCACUUUCCCAUCUCUCCAGUCCACUUAAGCAACAGGUGUCAUCACAGUUCAAGGACACAAAAGCACUCGAGGAGGGUUUGAAGCUGGGCGUGUGAUGGGCAUGGCCUGGGAAGAUUCCUGAGGGCCGGGCAGAACGUGUUGGAGAGCUGCUGAGAUUCCCUACGUCUGUCAUAACAUACAGUUUGAGAUAAAGGUUAUAUUUAUUUAUUUUAUAUAAAUAUAUAAAUAUUCAUGACUUUAUUUUAACGAAAACAGUCUUUGUGUU